Molecule: ribosomal RNA, 366 nt
Filed under: Alexandrium margalefii
Lineage: Eukaryota; Dinophyceae; Gonyaulacales; Pyrocystaceae
Description: partial Bacterial large subunit ribosomal RNA
Rfam family: Bacterial large subunit ribosomal RNA
Source: RNAcentral
GGUCCCAAGGUUAUGGCUGUGCGCCAUUUAAAGUGGUACGCGAGCUGGGUUUAGAACGUCGUGAGACAGUUCGGUCCCUAUCUGGUGUGGGCGUUGGAUGAUUGAUGGGAGCUGCUCCUAGUACGAGAGGACCGGAGUGGACGAACCGCUGGUGUUCGGGUUGUCAUGCCAAUGGCAUUGCCCGGUAGCUAUGUUCGGAACGGAUAACCGCUGAAAGCAUCUAAGCGGGAAGCCGGCCCAAAGAUGAGUCAUCCCUGAACUUUAAGUUCUGGAAGGGUUGUUAUAGACGAUGACGUUGAUAGGCAGGGUGUGGAAGCGUUGUAAGGCGUUAAGCUAACCUGUACUAAUUGCCCGAGAGGCUUAACC